CGAGGUGGCAAGCGUUGUUCGGAAUCACUGGGCGUAAAGGGUGCGUAGGCGGUUGGUCAUGUUCGGUGUGAAAUCCCACGGCUUACCCGUGGAACUGCAUCGAAAACUGGCUGACUUGAGUACAGGAAGGGAGAGCGGAAUUCCCGGUGUAGCGGUGGAAUGCGUAGAUAUCGGGAGGAACGCCAGUGGCGAAAGCGGCUCUCUGGCCUGCAACUGACGCUGAGGCACGAAAGCUAGGGUAGCGAACGGGAUUAGAUACCCCAGUAGUCC
This 270-nucleotide ribosomal RNA is filed under the name uncultured archaeon. RNAcentral describes it as "partial 16S ribosomal RNA". It matches the Rfam family "Bacterial small subunit ribosomal RNA", at positions 527 to 796 of the family's 1533-position model. The record is from RNAcentral.